GGUCAUCUUCGUAAGAACUUGUAGCAGUGUUCACCGAUAAUAUUCCGUACUGAUCGGUCUUCAUGCUCUGCGGCCUAGUAUCAAACCAUCUACACUUGAAGAGGUGCACUGUCAUGCCUUGCCCAUAAACGAGUUCCACCACUGAAUGGAGAACACCGUAAUAGUCAACUCCAUUCCGCCCACCAUGUGCCAUGACCCCAAAAUUCUGUGUUCUCCUUCUGCUGUCUCUUUGUUCGCAUAUAAAUUGCACGCCAUUCACCUUGCACAUCGGAUAAACUCUUGACAUUAUCGGCUUCAUCGCUAGAAGUCUUAGUUCGUGCGACCAAUUUGGGUGACCAUCAAAUUGAAUAUGGUUCAUCUGCAACCAACCAUUCAACUGUAAAUAUGGAUAAUUAUGCAAUAAACAUAAACACGUACAGAAAAAUUAAAUUACGUACCCAGCCGCCAAAAUAAUCCUGCGAACUCCCUGUUGUGGUACUCGAGAUCACCUUGAAUGUCUGGACAAUAUAGAUGGAUGUCUUUCCAGUAUUCAACUUCUGGACAGUUAAUCAAUACCCACCAGUGGGCAAUGACUAGCUCAUGUGGUUGCAACUUGUAGGAGUCUGACAAAAUUCCAUAUACUACAACAUCACUGGAGACUAUGGAAAGAUUGAACUUCGGUACAUCUACCGGCAUGGUUUGCGGAGUUUCCUUCAACGCUCCUAAAUACAACUUCAUGUAGGUGACGCACUCGUGCGCAAUAUAUGCUUCAGCUAUACAUCCUUCAGGCGCGGAUUUAUUAGCCACAUAAUCUUUGUAGUCUCCAAGUUGCCUGUAAAUCAAGUUGCAAAAUGUUAUGAUUAUUGAACAUGUAUAUAUAUUGAGGAAUUCAGGUGUAAAAAACGUACCUUUCCAUGGGAUACAUCCAAGUGUAGUGUACUGGACCGGUAAGCAACAAUUGCUCGGGAAGAUGGAUCAUCAGGUGAGGCAUGAUGUCAAAAAAAUUUGGAGGAAAUAUCCUCUCAAAUUUACACAUGA
This 1017-nucleotide long non-coding RNA is filed under the name Fragaria vesca (wild strawberry). RNAcentral describes it as "long non-coding RNA (FVES_LNC005188)". Lineage: Eukaryota; Viridiplantae; Streptophyta; Magnoliopsida; Rosales; Rosaceae. The record is from RNAcentral.